Molecule: ribosomal RNA, 308 nt
Filed under: Ctenophora environmental sample
Lineage: Eukaryota; Metazoa; Ctenophora
Description: partial Bacterial small subunit ribosomal RNA
Rfam family: Bacterial small subunit ribosomal RNA
Source: RNAcentral
AACUCCGUGCCAGCAGCCGCGGUAAUACGGAGGGUGCGAGCGUUAAUCGGAAUUACUGGGCGUAAAGCGCGCGUAGGCGGCUCUUUAAGUCGGAUGUGAAAGCCCCGGGCUCAACCUGGGAACUGCAUCCGAUACUGGAGGGCUAGAGUGUAGGAGAGGGAGGUAGAAUUCCAUGUGUAGCAGUGAAAUGCGUAGAUAUAUGGAGGAAUACCAGUGGCGAAGGCGGCCUCCUGGCUUAACACUGACGCUGAGGUGCGAAAGCGUGGGGAGCAAACGGGAUUAGAUACCCCGGUAGUCCACGCCGUAAA